ACCGGCGGACCCAUGUUGUAAGUAGGGUGGUCAACUGACCCACCUAAAAUAUAUAAAUUUUAUGUUUUACGUAUAAGAUAUUUUGUCUUUUGGCAGAUAUGGCUAUGUUUGCACCACCUAAAGUUUGAGGACGUAGGUUCGAUUCAUUCACUGCAAUAAUUUUUUUAUAUUUUUCAAUUUCCUUUUUCUGGAGCAUGUGUAAUGCUCUCAUUUACUUAAUUAAUUAUGUCUUCUU
RNAcentral lists this long non-coding RNA (235 nucleotides) under Arabidopsis lyrata. RNAcentral's name for it is "long non-coding RNA (ALYR_LNC001765)". Lineage: Eukaryota; Viridiplantae; Streptophyta; Magnoliopsida; Brassicales; Brassicaceae. The record is from RNAcentral.